RNAcentral lists this ribosomal RNA (376 nucleotides) under uncultured archaeon. Its description in RNAcentral is "bacterial SSU rRNA". It matches the Rfam family "Archaeal small subunit ribosomal RNA", at positions 347 to 727 of the family's 1478-position model. The record is from RNAcentral.
ACUUUACCAUGCGGGCAACCGUGAUAAGGAAACCCCGAGUGCCAGCACAGGCUGGCUGUCCGCCAGUUUAAAUAACUGGUGAAGAAAGGGCCGGGCAAGACCGGUGCCAGCCGCCGCGGUAAUACCGGCGGCUCGAGUGGUGGCCGCUAUUACUGGGCUUAAAGGGUCCGUAGCUUGAUAACUGGGUCCCUUGAGAAAUCCGCCAGCUCAACUGGCGGGCGUUCAGGGGAAACUUGUUUUCUUGGGACCGGGAGAGGUGAGGGGUACUGCCGGGGUAGGAGUGAAAUCCUGUAAUCCCGGUGGGACCACCUAUGGCGAAGGCAUCUCACCAGAACGAGUCCGACAGUGAGGGACGAAAGCUGGGGGAGCAAACCGG